Molecule: long non-coding RNA, 458 nt
Organism: Glycine soja
Lineage: Eukaryota; Viridiplantae; Streptophyta; Magnoliopsida; Fabales; Fabaceae
Exons: 2
Source: RefSeq, a predicted model, not a curated record
CUCUAUAUAUACAAAGCCAAUGUUCUCAAACCCUAACUUCCGCAGCAGCAGCAUCCAAAGGCUUCUAGGGUUUUUUUUUUCUCUAUCAAUCUUUAUUAGUGUUUUCAGGGUUCUAUAUUGUGUAUUGAAUCUGACAAACUAGCUUCUUUGUAUCAUUGCCAUUGUUUUGUAAGUCAUGUGUGAGCUUGGCAAUGCUAGUAUCUUACAAGCCUGAUGAUUGUCACCGAGAACGGAGAUUUGAAGAUUCUUUUGUUGAAGCCUUACCAACUAUGGGCUCCAAAAGCAUCUCAUGUAAUAAAUCGUUCUAUAUUGGUAUUAAUUAAUUAAUGAAGGCUUGUACUUUGAGUCCGUGAUAGCAAACGCAUGUAUGCCUGGUAAAGAACAACACUGCUAGACAAUGGUGUAUUGUCUGUUAUUUGGAAUGAAAUUUGAGAUUGAAAACCAGUGAAUUGGUCAAA